Molecule: ribosomal RNA, 253 nt
Filed under: uncultured bacterium
Lineage: Bacteria
Description: partial 16S ribosomal RNA
Rfam family: Bacterial small subunit ribosomal RNA
Source: RNAcentral
UACAGAGGUCCCAAGCGUUGUUCGGAUUCACUGGGCGUAAAGGGUGCGUAGGUGGUGGGGUAAGUCGGAUGUGAAAUCUCGGAGCUCAACUCCGAAAUGGCAUUGGAAACUACCCUGCUUGAGGGUCGGAGGGGGGACUGGAAUUCUCGGUGUAGCAGUGAAAUGCGUAGAUAUCGAGAGGAACACCAGUGGCGAAGGCGAGUCCCUGGACUGGUACUGACGCUGAUGCGCGAAAGCGUGGGGAGCAAACAGG